AGCGAACGCUGGCGGCAGGCCUAACACAUGCAAGUCGAACGAACUCUUCGGAGUUAGUGGCGGACGGGUGAGUAACACGUGGGAACGUGCCCUUUGGUACGGAAUAACUCAGGGAAACUUGAGCUAAUACCGUAUGUGCCCUUCGGGGGAAAGAUUUAUCGCCAUUGGAGCGGCCCGCGUCUGAUUAGCUAGUUGGUGAGGUAAAGGCUCACCAAGGCUACGAUCAGUAGCUGGUCUGAUAGGAUGAUCAGCCACAUUGGGACUGAGACACGGCCCAAACUCCUACGGGAGGCAGCAGUGGGGAAUCUUGCGCAAUGGGCGAAAGCCUGACGCAGCCAUGCCGCGUGAAUGAUGAAGGUCUUAGGAUUGUAAAAUUCUUUCACCGGGGACGAUAAUGACGGUACCCGGAGAAGAAGCCCCGGCUAACUUCGUG
Molecule: ribosomal RNA, 433 nt
Filed under: uncultured bacterium
Lineage: Bacteria
Description: partial 16S ribosomal RNA
Rfam family: Bacterial small subunit ribosomal RNA
Source: RNAcentral